This 1051-nucleotide long non-coding RNA is filed under the name Homo sapiens (human). RNAcentral's name for it is "HSALNT0273535". The record is from RNAcentral. Lineage: Eukaryota; Metazoa; Chordata; Mammalia; Primates; Hominidae.
CUUCCCUGCCGGCUUAUGAAGAAAGUGCCUGCUUCCCCUUUGCCUUCCGCCAUGAUUGUAGCUUUUCUGAGGCCUCCCCAGCCAUGCAGAACUACGUCUACAUGGGAUGUUUUUCCCAAGGAUCAAGUACCAAGACUAAACAAAGAUUCACUGCCUGAUUGAGUUUAGACCCGGCAAGCACAAGACCAUUGCUUCAUCUCCACCUUGGAUUGCAAAAUCUUUCAGGACCAGGGCUGUUGGCUGAAUAACUUGCUCCAUGGUACCAGGAUCUGCAACUCUUGGUGCAGAUUGUGGAUGGAGGUGAGUGGUGAGACAGGGUGGCAGCUAUCCUUGCACCUGAAAGAAGUUUGGUGACUCUCUGGGGCAGGUAUGCUUCGAAGGGAGCAAGCUCUUCCAGCUGCAGGGGGACCCUGCACAGCAGAGUCCUCAGCAAACCUUGGCAUUGCUUGUGGGCAGCCUCGCAGCUCAGCGGUGUGCUCAUGCCAGCUCCUCUAGAUGAUGCUGUAAUUGGAUAGCAACUUUCUUCACUAGGUCACAGGUUCAAGAGCAGCCCAGACCCUUCAGAUGUUGCUUUGUCCUCCCUCUCCCAGCCUGCACAGCAUCAAGCUACUCCUGGGGCCUGCCUGUCCUCUCUUCUGCCCCUUACACAAGCUGGGAGCUGAGCUGAAGCAGAGCUGGUUUUAAAGCUCUGACCUCCAUGAGGCAAGGACCACAAAAACCCUGGACCACAAAAAGCUAGGCUGCAGAGACAGGAACAAAAGCAAGGGAUGGCAGGAAGCUGAUUGACAUGUGGGAAUCCAACAAUGCCCCAGUCUUCCAGGCGGUGUGGGUCAUCUCAGCCAGCAGCACUCCUCAAAUGAGAAUGAGACAGGUCACCAUGGGUCACAGAGCCUCUCUACCAAAGAAGGAGAAAAAGAUCAAGGGGGGCUUUUGUAAAAAGGGAACAUAUGGACUGGCAAAAUAAAUCAGAGCUGGCCAUGGGGUAAGAUCUUCUUAUCCGAAGACCGUAGUCAUCGUUCCUGUCACCUUGGCUCUAGAAUAAAGCCCACAC